This 480-nucleotide ribosomal RNA is filed under the name uncultured bacterium. Its description in RNAcentral is "bacterial SSU rRNA". It matches the Rfam family "Bacterial small subunit ribosomal RNA", at positions 39 to 535 of the family's 1533-position model. The record is from RNAcentral.
GUAACGUGCGCGNUGGCUAGACAUGCAGUCGUACGGGGCCCGCAAGGGUCCAGUGGCGAACGGGUGAGUAAUGUACCCUUAAAGGGCCCUUCAGUCCGGGAUAGCCGUCCGAAAGGACCGUUAAUACCGGAUGAGACCACAGUCCCGCAUGGGACGGUGCUCAAAGGAGUAAUCCGCUGAAGGAGCGGGCGAUAUCGUAUCAGCUAGUUGGUGAGGUAACGGCUCACCAAGGCGACGACGCGUAGCCGUGCUGAGAGGUCGGCCGGCCACAUUGGGACUGAGACACUGCCCAGACUCCUACGGGGGGCUGCAGUAACGAAUCUUCCGCAAUGCACGAAAGUGUGACGGAGCGACGCCGCGUGGAGGACGAAGUUCUUCGGAAUGUAAACUCCUGUCAGGGGCAGCCAAGUUCUGAGGCGCCCCAGAGGAAGGCACGGCUAACUCUGUGCCAGCAGCCGCGGUAAGACAGAGGUGCCGAGC